AUAUUAGUCAUUUCACCUGAAACCCCCCUGCACCAGAGAUUUCCCCAAGCCCACUCCAGGCUACAAAGCUGCGUGGCCAACGCGCUGCCACUCCCUAAGGAAUACAGUGCAGAUGAGUCCAGUCUGAAGCAGCAGAGUUACAGCAGGAAGCUUGGUAGUGUCUGAUCUCCACAGCGAGAGAUUAUCAGACUCUCCUCCACCCUGAGGGU
Molecule: long non-coding RNA, 209 nt
Filed under: Astyanax mexicanus (Mexican tetra)
Lineage: Eukaryota; Metazoa; Chordata; Actinopteri; Characiformes; Acestrorhamphidae
Description: lncRNA (ENSAMXG00005011476.1)
Source: RNAcentral